CCUACGGGAGGCAGCAGUGGGGAAUAUUGGACAAUGGGCGAAAGCCUGAUCCAGCAAUGCCGCGUGAGUGAUGAAGGCCUUAGGGUUGUAAAGCUCUUUUACCAGGGAUGAUAAUGACAGUACCUGGAGAAUAAGCUCCGGCUAACUCCGUGCCAGCAGCCGCGGUAAUACGGAGGGAGCUAGCGUUGUUCGGAAUUACUGGGCGUAAAGCGUACGUAGGCGGUUAUUCAAGUCAGAGGUGAAAGCCUGGAGCUCAACUCCAGAACUGCCUUUGAAACUAGAUAGCUAGAAUCUUGGAGAGGUGAGUGGAAUUCCGAGUGUAGAGGUGAAAUUCGUAGAUAUUCGGAAGAACACCAGUGGCGAAGGCGACUCACUGGACAAGUAUUGACGCUGAGGUACGAAAGCGUGGGGAGCAAACAGGAUUAGAUACCCUGGUAGUCCACGCCGUAAACGAUGAUAACUAGCUGUUCGGGCUCUACGAGCUUGAGUGGCGCAGCUAACGCAUUAAGUUAUCCGCCUGGGGAGUACGGUCGCAAGNUUAAAACUUAAUGAUUGACGG
This 559-nucleotide ribosomal RNA is filed under the name uncultured bacterium. RNAcentral describes it as "bacterial SSU rRNA". It matches the Rfam family "Bacterial small subunit ribosomal RNA", at positions 338 to 916 of the family's 1533-position model. The record is from RNAcentral.